This 73-nucleotide transfer RNA is filed under the name Ictidomys tridecemlineatus (thirteen-lined ground squirrel). Its description in RNAcentral is "Spermophilus tridecemlineatus (thirteen-lined ground squirrel) tRNA". It matches the Rfam family "tRNA". From Rfam's summary of the family: Transfer RNA (tRNA) molecules are approximately 80 nucleotides in length. Their secondary structure includes four short double-helical elements and three loops (D, anti-codon, and T loops). Lineage: Eukaryota; Metazoa; Chordata; Mammalia; Rodentia; Sciuridae. The record is from Rfam by way of RNAcentral.
GCUGGUAUAGCUCAGUUGGUAGAGUGCUUGUCUCACAUGCACAAGGCCCUGGGUUCAAUCCCCAGCGUCAUCC